CGUUCCUUGAAGCAUCACAGCAGAUUGACGAUGGCAAGCUUUUACUGUAGCUGCCUGGUUCAAGAAAGAUUGGACUCUUUGACUGAUGAUUCCCACACUUUAUUCACUUGUCCGUCAUCACGAUUAAAAGCACCGUCGGACACCAUAUUCGUUGAGAAUCAACGUAAAAGCUUGUACAAAAGAAAACAAAUACCGAAAAAUGAAUAAAAAUCCAUCAAAACCAAAUAAAGUAAGAUUGACUUACACAUAUUAUACAAAGCAAAACAAUAAGUAAUCUUAAUACAAAUAAUAUAAAUCCAAACAAAGAUAACAGGAAGUCCAUAAUCAUACCUUGUUCUCCAUUCAAACCAGGAGCUAAAUCCUUUUAAACACCUUGCAAACCGUAAGCCUUUGACACCAUGACCAUAUGUGUAUGGGUCUCAAUCAUAUUGAAAUGUUUGAACCGUAUGCGCGUUAUAUCCGCUCACAUGAGUGAACUUCAAAAUAAAAGACCUCCGUUACCACAACACAAAUGAGACUCAAAAUUAAAUACCAUACAAAAAUUAACAAAACUAAAUCAUUCAAGAACUAUAUUAUUUGCAUAUUUUUAAAGCAAACUACAUAGUUCUUAACACCAUGAUACAUAGUUUUGUGUAACAUUUGCUAAAGUAGCAGAAAUAAAAUCUGAAUGGAAAUUAAUUAUCUAUAAAUGUGUCAGGAUAUAGGCAAAGAGGCAGAGGUAAGUGAAUCCAAACACAGCUUUAUUUUAGGUGGCAAGAGUGUUCAAUCAGUUCGGGUGCAGAUAUGGUGAAGAUCACUCGGUGCAGGACAGGCAACAGGUAAGCACAAACACUUCGGGAAUGUGGGCAUCGGGGAGUAAUAGUUCAGUGAUACAAAUCCUCUCUUUAGGGGCAGUCACUAGCAAACAGGUUCGGAAGACUCACUGGCGGAUCGGAGGGAUAUAGGGGAACAGGCAAUAUGCACCGGAAUCCUGGAGAUAAUAGAAUGAGGACACAGGGGUUAGAGAUCUUCAGCAUUUGUAGAUGUUCCAUUGGCUGUGUCGGUUCUCUGGUGAUACUCACUGGAAAAAAAAAAUAUCUGUUUACUGACACCAAAUUAUUACGGAUUGAGGACAGAGCAGUAUCAAGACCAGUGGCAAGAGGUGACGACCCAAUGACGGGUAAGACUUGACAAUGGCAUAAAAGGUUAAGCAACCAAAGCAGGGGCUUCACCGCCCUGGAGACCUGACCAAGAAGGUUUGAAAGGGUUUUAAGGAAGUGGAUGAAUGCUCUUAGAUCAGAAGCAUCAACAGGGAGGUCUAGAAAAGGCCUGCCAAAAAAAAAAUAAUAAUUUUAAGUUCCACUGAACCCGACUGCAUUUUAAGCAUUCUGUCACUGUGUUGUCAGGGGAUCAUACCCUGUGUAGAGGAUUAUUUAUAGAUUGGUUUUGGGGGUAAAGUUUUGAACCGUUGCAGACAAAGGAGUGCUUGACUAUUUAUAGAAGUAUUAAACAAACAUGGGAAUGUUUGAUAAUGAAUUUAGAUUGGAAGAUGAUUUAUUACUUUUACUUAUGCUUUAAUUGAACUCAUGUACAUUUUAAAAGUAAUGAGGAAUGGAAAAGAUACAUGGUGGUGACUAAAGAUUAAGAUUGCUUGUCUUGUUUGUUUGUAACAAUAUAAAUGGAAUUUAUUAAGAAAUAGGGUGCAGGGUUGGCUACAAUUGGUAUAAUAAUUGAAACAACAAUUUGUGAGAGGGGAAUAAUAUAAUAUUGUCUGUUACCAUUGAUUAAAUAAAAAACCAGAUGAAGUACUGAUCAAUGUAAAUGGUCCAAUGCAACAGAAAGACCAAACUGGGAGGAAAUUGAUUCCUCCAAUGAUAUGUUAUAUAUUUGAUCAUUCUUUUAUUGAUUUAAUACUCUGAAUUACUCUGAUGUAGUCUGAAACUAUGAAAAACAGCUUAGCUUGCAGGGAAAAUUAAUUCAUGUGAUACAGACAUUGAGAGACCUUGGGAAACAGGAGGAAAUGAAAUGUAUGUGAUAAGUGAAUGAGUAGGGAGUUUUAAGAUAAGGAACACCUGGAGGAGGCAGAGGACCCAUGUGUUAUUUAGUGCUAGAAAUGAGAUGCAACAAAUGUAUGUGAGUGUGCCCACAUUUACUAGCUUACAAGAAAGUGUGUAGCAAAUGACUGUAAUAAGGGAAAUCAUUUAAUAUAUUAAUCAAAUGAAUGCAGAAAGUAAUGAUUUUUAGUUAAUAUAAAACAUGUAACCAUAUGAGGUGAUUACAGUGUCCUUUAUGCAUAUAAAAUGAAAUAGUCAUGCUGUUGCCAUCAUUGAAGCAAGUUAGGACAGGAUGACCCGCUGAAGGAGAGAAGGUGGAAAGCAAUUGCUGCCUACAAUACCAAUGAAUAAGACAUAUUAAUGUGGAUGUUAUUACUGACAUACUUGGGACAAGUGUUGCCCCCAAUGACUGGGCCUACCAGAGAAACGUCCCAAGAAGGACCAGGAUCACCAGAUGAACAAUUCUAAGAAAGCAUACUGCAGAGUGGGUUCCCUACAAUCAGCCUUGGGGAUCUUGGUUGGCCUUUCCAAUGAAGCUGACCUAAAACUAAAUACUCCAGAAAGUGAAUUCAGAAAGUACAGAGCACUUGACGGACUGUAUUGAAGUAACUAUGAAUAUGGACUUCCCAACGAUGAAUUCGAGGCAAGAUUCAGACAAAGAAGAGCAGCAAGCACAAAACCAAGAACCCGAGGAAGAAGAAGAUCAGCAGGAACCGGCUAGAGAAUCUGAAGAAAGAGAAGAGGAAGUAGAAGAAGGACAAAAGCAAGUAGGGGAAGAGCACGCUGCGGCAGAAAGAGGGAUUGAAGUAAGUGCCGCAGUAGAGCAGGAAAGCAUAGAAAGUGAGACGGAAGUACACGUCACAGAGGAACAGGACCAGGAAGGUGAAGAAGGAGAAAGACAAGAAGAAAGUGAUCGUCCUGCUUGAAACAGAUACAGAAGCAACUGAAGGAAAUGAAACAGGCCAACAAGCGCAGUCGUUCGAUGAAGCGUUGUGGGACAUGGAGGAAAGAAUGGAAGCUCAAGGAGGUAUUAGUGUGGAUGAUGCUGUUACUAACAUAUUUGGGACAGGUAUUGCCUCCCAUACAGGGCCUACCGGAGAGGAGAUCCAGGAAGGCCCAGACUCUCCAGGCGAAGGACCAUCACAACGACCAUGGUAUGAUGAAUUUCCUACAAUUGACAUCUCAGACCUUCAAUAUUAUUCCCCCGAAUGAGCAGAGACUAGAUAACAUAGCAUGAGAAAUCAGAAAGAAGCGAACGCCUGGAUCACUAAACAAAGGUGAAUGCGAAAAGCAAAGAAUCUGGAUAAGCAAUUUGGCCAAGCAGAACAAACCGAAUAAUCCGCCUCAAAAGACACCUGACAAAAUAAUCACCCAAAGACUGAAAAAGCCAAUACAUUUUGAAAAUGAUAUGGAACCCAUAGAGUCAGCAGGAACAGAGGAACUAUUAGAACAAGAAAAUCAAAAUGACUGGUAUAAAUGGGCCAGAUAUACAGCUAAGCAAGCAAAAAUGACAAACUGUGUAAUGUGCUCGCCCUCUCCAUUGAAAAAAUUGUUCUGCCCAGCAGCAUAUUUGGCAUUCUUGGGUCAUCCGGAAUAUGAUAAAUAUUAUAAGAUGAUAGGGUGGGGAGAUGAAUGAAGAAAAUUAGACGUACGUCUGGAUAAUGAGAAAAAAGAAAGCCCAUUAUCAUAUACAAUAAAUCGACAACUGGAGUAUGAAUGUUUUAACAAAACUAAAGGAAAACAAAUGUUGGACUAUUUAAGGGCAAUUGCACAGAAAUAUGGUGUAAUACUUCCCAAGGAAGGAGGACAGGAAACAGGUCUUCACCACAAGUGCUACCACCGGGAACAGGGCUAGAAGCUAGGUACUGUACCAUUGGGCCAGGAUUGGAUGAACUUGAUGAGAUUUACUGAGAAGCAAUCCAGAAACAACACUGGAAUUUAAGGGGAAUUUUAUUUUUGAACACUUUUCUCAUGUUUUUGAUGGUAAGGGAGAUAACAUGACUAUUGUACUUUCAUUUUACAUAACAGAAUAGAUAGCAACUCAAGAAAGGAGUUAGAGGGUGUUUUGUUUGUUAUUUUUGACAUAUUCCCCUAUUACUCUCAAUGUAACCAAUUAAUUAUAAUGAUUAAUGGAGUAUAUCUUUAUUACAAUGUACCUAAUCAAAUAGAUGUAGUAUUGCUGAUGAUUAUGUUUAAGAAAAAUAUGGAUGUGAAAUACUUGCCAAGAGAAGACAUGUGAGGAACAUAUGUGAAGAAAGGAGCGACGAGCACCUCAGUGCUUGGCUGCAAGAGCAAAUAGACUCAACUGGUGGUUUAAAAACCCGCUGUCUGCUCCAACACACCACCAGAUAGCGCUCCAGGCUACCGGAAUUGUCUGUGAGUUCCUCUGGCAACGAAGGAUGAAUAUUACUAUGUUACUUUUACUAGUGUUUUGUUAAGCAUAUAUAUAUAUAUAUAUAUAUUCUACUUAAUGGAUAAUCAAUUGUACUCUACAUCAUGCAAUGCUUCACAUUUGCAUGCACAUGCUUAUUACAAAUGAGUUGAUUUUUGUUACCCACCCCCAGGAACAGUGCUAGCUAGAGGACUGGGAUCUUUUACUCCUUCCUAGCCAAGUGUGGAGGGAGAGGUUUGGUCCCAAGUUCUGCAGAGUGCAGCCCCAUAAAGAUGGCAUUGGAUAGUGGAAUGAGUGGCCUACUUUGGCUACAUGAUGAAAUGGGACAGGCUGGCUUGUGUGACUGCACUCUGGGUUGAGAGAAAUAGAGUGUGAGACUUUUAUAAGGCUCAGAGGUGGGAGUAUAUAGUAUAUUUUUCAAUAAUCUAGUAUGUUUUUAUAUAUUUUCAAUAUUCUAGUAUAUUUUUAUAUAUCAAAAUACUUAUAUGAGUUUCCAGGCCUUUGUGUGACCCAGGAGAGAGCAUAUGAGGUUACUAAAAGUGUUGAUGCUGCAGAGAACACAAAGAAUGGUAUAUAACCUUGAAAAACAGGUGUAUUUCUUCAAAAACAAAAUGUGUUUCUGUUAAUCAAUAGUAUUCUGAUGUGAGUCCUUGGUGUGUUUCCUUUGUGCUGGCACGCAUCUUUGCAGCUGUGGUGUGCCUCAGUAAAAUACAGGAGGCAUUUCCUACAAAGAUACUUUUAAUCAGUUAUUAUAUGAAUGGUGUCUUGUUCUAAUGAGCUGAAUGUAUGAUAUCUUUGCAGCUGGUGUUUUCUUUCAAAUAAUAAAGUGUAUGAGCAAGCAAGGCUGUCUCAUUGUGGGAAUGCGCUGAAAAUGUAGGAUAAAGAUAAAAAGUAUGUGAUGAGGACAUGGCUGUUUACGCAGGUGUUUCUAGGAGUUGAUGUACUCUGUCCAUGAACUGUAACAUGAGGUCAAGAUAUGAGAGGCUACCAAAGAUACAUGUUUCUUUUUCUUUUUAAUAGAUAGGCGAGGGAUCUCCCACCAAUAUUUAAUUAACAAAGGACGUAGAACAUUGGAGGGAAAGAAACAAGGCAGUGACCUUGUUAGUCAGAGAUGGUGGGUAACAAGAUAACAAAAAGGUAUAUAACUGAGAACUUAGAAAAAUGAGUCAGAACGGACAGCUGACCGGUCUCAUGUUUGUUGGUGUUCAAUAAACUACAACUUUGGCAU
Molecule: long non-coding RNA, 5653 nt
Organism: Xyrauchen texanus (razorback sucker)
Lineage: Eukaryota; Metazoa; Chordata; Actinopteri; Cypriniformes; Catostomidae
Exons: 3
Source: RefSeq, a predicted model, not a curated record